This 364-nucleotide ribosomal RNA is filed under the name uncultured bacterium. Its description in RNAcentral is "bacterial SSU rRNA". It matches the Rfam family "Bacterial small subunit ribosomal RNA", at positions 29 to 414 of the family's 1533-position model. The record is from RNAcentral.
AACGAACGCUGGCGGCAUGCCUAACACAUGCAAGUCGAACGGGAUCCUAGCUUGCUAGGUGAGAGUGGCGGACGGGUGAGUAACACGUGGGAAUCUGCCUUUUUGGUUCGGGAUAACCGCGGGAAACUGCGGCUAAUACCGAAUGCCCUCGAGAGAGGAAAGAUUUAUCGCCAGAAGAGGAGCCCGCGUCCGAUUAGGUAGUUGGUGGGGUAAAGGCCUACCAAGCCGACGAUCGGUAGCUGGUCUGAGAGGAUGAUCAGCCACACUGGGACUGAGAUACGGCCCAGACUCCUACGGGAGCAGCAGUGGGAAUAUUGGACAAUGGGGCAACCCUGAUCCAGCAAUGCCGCGUGAGUGAUGAAGG